UGGGAAGGUGGAUGGAACCCUAAUUUAAUAGAAUGGAAGGAGGGUGGGACUCGAACAACUAUUUGAUCCGAAAUACAAGCUUUUGAAAAAGCCCAAAACAACAACAUCAACACCACUGCCCAACACCACCUCCAACGCUCUGCAACCUCUCUGCAAUGGCUGACGAGGAACCUGUUGAUCAGAAGAGAUAUCUUGAAGAGUCUUGCAAACCAAAAUGUG
Molecule: non-coding RNA, 219 nt
Organism: Cajanus cajan (pigeon pea)
Lineage: Eukaryota; Viridiplantae; Streptophyta; Magnoliopsida; Fabales; Fabaceae
Source: RefSeq, a predicted model, not a curated record